RNAcentral lists this small nucleolar RNA (138 nucleotides) under Ornithorhynchus anatinus (platypus). The record is from RNAcentral. Lineage: Eukaryota; Metazoa; Chordata; Mammalia; Monotremata; Ornithorhynchidae.
CCCCUCUCAGGGUCACACCUGGAGAGUUUCAAGUAUUCUACCAGUCUCCACUACGGGAGGGAGAGUCAAGCAGAGGCCUACCCAUUCCAUUCCUAGCUUGGCUAGUGGCUAGCGAGCGGAAGGCCAUCUGCUACAAGU